CGGCGCCACGAGUGGCAAUCAUGUAUUUGGCCUAAAGCGUCCGUAGCCGGUUUGGCAAAUCUUCUGUGAAAUCGAGCAGCUCAACUGUUCGGCGGACAGGAGACACUACCAAACUUGGAACCGGGAGGGGUACAGAGUAUUCCAGGGGAAGCGGUAAAAUGCUAUAAUCCCUGGAGGACUACCUAUGGCGAAGGCACUGUACCAGAACGGAUUCGACGGUGAGGGACGAAAGCCAGGGGAGCGAUCCGGAUUAGAGACCCGAGUAGUCC
RNAcentral lists this ribosomal RNA (269 nucleotides) under uncultured archaeon. RNAcentral describes it as "partial 16S ribosomal RNA". It matches the Rfam family "Archaeal small subunit ribosomal RNA", at positions 477 to 747 of the family's 1478-position model. The record is from RNAcentral.